RNAcentral lists this transfer RNA (85 nucleotides) under Solimonas sp. RNAcentral describes it as "tRNA-Leu". It matches the Rfam family "tRNA". From Rfam's summary of the family: Transfer RNA (tRNA) molecules are approximately 80 nucleotides in length. Their secondary structure includes four short double-helical elements and three loops (D, anti-codon, and T loops). Further hydrogen bonds mediate the characteristic L-shaped molecular structure. tRNAs have two regions of fundamental functional importance: the anti-codon, which is responsible for specific mRNA codon recognition, and the 3' end, to which the tRNAs corresponding amino acid is attached (by aminoacyl-tRNA synthetases). tRNAs cope with the degeneracy of the genetic code in two manners: having more than one tRNA (with a specific anti-codon) for a particular amino acid; and 'wobble' base-pairing, i.e. permitting non-standard base-pairing at the 3rd anti-codon position. RNAcentral also lists the same sequence under 1 other name. The record is from RNAcentral. Lineage: Bacteria; Pseudomonadati; Pseudomonadota; Gammaproteobacteria; Nevskiales; Nevskiaceae.
GCCCGUGUGGCGGAAUCGGUAGACGCACGAGACUUAAAAUCUUGCGCCGCAAGGCGUGCCGGUUCGAGUCCGGCCAUGGGCACCA